Molecule: ribosomal RNA, 535 nt
Filed under: Vanrija musci
Lineage: Eukaryota; Fungi; Basidiomycota; Tremellomycetes; Trichosporonales; Trichosporonaceae
Description: eukaryotic LSU rRNA
Rfam family: Eukaryotic large subunit ribosomal RNA
Source: RNAcentral
UCUGGCGUCCUUCGGGCGUCCGAGUUGUAAUCUAUAGAAGUGUUUUCCGUGCCGGACCAUGUCCAAGUCCCUUGGAACAGGGUAUCAAAGAGGGUGACAAUCCCGUACUUGACAUGACCACCGGUGCUCUGUGAUACACUUUCUACGAGUCGAGUUGUUUGGGAAUGCAGCUCAAAAUGGGUGGUAAAUUCCAUCUAAAGCUAAAUAUUGGCGAGAGACCGAUAGCGAACAAGUACCGUGAGGGAAAGAUGAAAAGCACUUUGGAAAGAGAGUUAAACAGUACGUGAAAUUGUUGAAAGGGAAACGAUUGAAGUCAGUCGUGUUCUUUGGACUCAGCCGGUUCUUCCGGUCUAUUUCCUUUGAACGGGUCAACAUCAGUUUUGUCCGGUGGAUAAAGGCAGGAAGAAAGUGGCUCCCUCGGGAGUGUUAUAGCUUUCUGUCACAUACACUGGAGGAGACUGAGGACUGCAGCUCGCCUUUUGGCCGGGGUUCGCCCACGUUCGAGCUUAGGAUGUUGACAUAAUGGCUUUAAACG